ACACAGCGGUAGUGUGGAGAAUUUACUCCAAGUUUCCACAAAACAUGUAUAUAAACAUAAAAUUCCACAUUUUUAUUCACCUAAAUUUCUAUUUUAAAGAAUCAAGAAUUUAAUAACAAGACAAAAUUCUUCUUCACUCAAGAUGAAAAGAUGCUUUUUAAAUGCAGGCAGUUUUCACAGUUGAUGAUCAUGUGAAAUUCAGUAAUCUCUUUUUCUUGCUUGUAAGGAACAUGAUGGAUACUUAAUAGAUAAGAGACAACAUUGAACAUUAAUCCCCAACACUGAGUAUGAAGAACUUUGAGUAAGAAACUACUCCUCAGAUCAUGAAGAAUGAAAAUGCCCAUGUAAAUAGGUAAGAUAAAAAUAAUAAAUAUAAUAUACUGUUUAAAGUCUCUGAUAUAAACUCCAAAAUCUCAGGAUAUCUUUUUAUUUAAUGGAUAUAUGUACAAAAAAGUUUUCCCCGCUCUACCCUUCCUUAAUCUUUUAGGUAUUCAAGGGCACUUUGCCUUUUCUUUUAAAAGUUUUAUAAAUUUUCAUAUUCUUGAAAAAGAGAGUGAGAGAGAGAGAGCAAUAUCAUCAUUGUUCCACUCUGCAAAUGCCCACAAUAGCCAGGAGCUGCACCCAGAAGCCCAGAACUCAAUCCAACUUGCUCACAUGGGUGACAGGGUCCUGAACACAUGUGCCAUUAUCUGCCACCUCCCAUAAUGCAUUAGCAGGACACUGGAUUGGGAGUAGAAGAACUGGAACAAAAUUCACACACUGAUACAAGAUCUGGGGCAUCCCAAGUAGUUAACCUGCUGUGUCAGAAUACAUACCCUGCACAUUCCCUUUUCUUGAGUUUUAAAGUGUCCUAGAUAAAUGUUCAUAUGGGAUGCAUUUUUGUUCUUAUAGGAUAACCCAAAAAUAUAGAGAAAGUGCAUGGAACACCAUACCUGAUGGUGUGUCAGCAGGUGAAGCUCAAAGAUCCUCAAAAAAAAAAAAAAAAAAAAAAAAGACUUCAUUGGACAGGAAUGGGGGAGACAAUUUAUGUAAUCUAUAGAAAGAGGAAUGGGAGGUUGCCACGGGGGUGGAAAUUGGAGGCAACACUCCUUUCUCUGGAUGUUUUCUUCUUGUUUAUUUCUUAUCUUUCUGAGGUACCACCUUCCUUUUAUACUUCUCAAUACUCUUAUCCAACUUCCUUUUCAGUGUAUUUUCUCCAAAACUGCCUUUUUAUUCCACUUUCCUUAAAUUCUGUAUUUUUUGUGAAUCCUUUCUGAAGAACUGCCUUCCUUUUGAUUUUUUCAGUGUAUUUUAUCUACAUCUUUGAAUCAAUAACUUGAAUAAUUAUCCAACAAAAAGCUAAAACACAGAGAGGUUAGUUCUCAAAAGAAACACAUGACAUUACUUGGACUCCAUUCUUGAAAUACAGUGAAGAAAAAAAUGGGAAAAUUAAGGGGUAAGUUUAGGUUUGAAAAUAUCUUAACAUUUCUACCCAGUGUAUGUUUACACCUAUGUGGUUUAAUUUCAGAAAAAACAUAGAAAUUCUUGGAAUUUCCUUUUAAAUAUUCUUUCAUUGAUGUUAUAUGACUCAAUUUAAAGUAUUGCCCUACUCCAGGUUAUGUUGAGUGAAAUAAGCCAAUCCCAAAGGGACAAAUACCACUUGUUCUCCUUGAUAGGUGACAACUAACUGAGCACCAAAAAGGAAACCUGUUAAAGUGAAAUGAACACUAUGAGAAACGGUGACUUGAUCAGCCCUCACCCUGACUGUUGAUGAGCAGCUUAAUAUGUUAUCCCUCUUAGUAUUUUUUGUUUGUUUGUUCUACUUAAUACUUUUGGUUGAAUACUGUAAUCAAUACACAAUUCUUCUUAAGUGCUGAAACUUAACUGAAAAGUGAUCGCUGUUAAAUAUAAGAGUGGGAAUAAGAGAGGGAAGAGAUGUGCAAUUCGGGACAUGCUCAAGCUGACUUACCUCAAACGGUAGAGUUAGAAACAUACCAGGGGUCUCGACUUCAAUCCCAUCGAGGUGGCAUGUACGAAUGCCAUCUCACUAGUCCCAGUGACCAAUUUCUGUUCACAAUUGAUCAUAAUGAUAGGACUAAGAACCAAAGGGAUCACAUAAACAAGAAUAGUGUCUGCAAAUACUAGCUGAUAGAAUCAAAAAGGGAGAGAACAAUCCAACAUGGGAAGUGAGAUACACAGCAGACCCAUAGAAUGGCAAAUGUCCUAACAGCACUCUGGCCUCAUAAUCAGCCCUUAAGGCAUGCGGAUCCGGCUGAAAUGCCCAUGAGAGUAUUUCAGGCAUGGAAAGCCAAGACACUCUGGGGAAAAAAAAAAAAAAAAAACCCUAAAUGAAAGAUCUCCAUGAGUGAGAUCGCAGUGGAAAGAAUGGGUCAUCAAAGAAGGAGGUACCUUUCUCUGAAGGAAAGAGAGAACUUCCACUUUGACCAUGGCCUUGUCUAAAAAUUAUCAGAGUCAGUGAACUCAGGGGGCUUCCACAGCCUUGGCAGCUCAUGACAAGAGCCUAGGGUGAUUACUGAUGCCAUAAACAAGAGUGUCAACUUGUUAAGUCAACAACAGGAGUCACUGUGCACUUACUCCUCAUGUAGGAUCUUUGUCCUUAGUGUGCUGUACAUUGAGAUUUAAUGCUAUAACGAGUACUCAAACAGUAUUUUUCACUUUAUGUUUCUGUGUGGGAGCAAACUGUUGAAAUCUUUACUUAACGUAUACUAAACUGAUCUUCUGUAUACAAAGAGAAACGAAAAUGAAUCUUGAUGUGAAUGGAAGGGGAGAGGGAGUGGAAAAGGGGAGGGUUGCGGGUGGGAGGGAUGUUAUGGGGGGGGAAGCCAUUGUAAUCCAUAUUCUGUACUUUGGAAAUUUAUAUUCAUUAAAUAAAAGUAAAAAAAAAAAGACCCCA
RNAcentral lists this long non-coding RNA (2893 nucleotides) under Oryctolagus cuniculus (rabbit). Its description in RNAcentral is "lncRNA (ENSOCUG00000032494.1)". The record is from RNAcentral. Lineage: Eukaryota; Metazoa; Chordata; Mammalia; Lagomorpha; Leporidae.